RNAcentral lists this transfer RNA (84 nucleotides) under Serratia marcescens. RNAcentral's name for it is "tRNA-Asn(gtt)". Lineage: Bacteria; Pseudomonadati; Pseudomonadota; Gammaproteobacteria; Enterobacterales; Yersiniaceae. The record is from RNAcentral.
GUGGUGAUCGCCAGCCGGCUGCUGGCGCGCGAUUUGUUGCAGCGCGGCGUGCUGGCCGCGCCGUUCGAGACGGCGUUACCCGGC